AAAACCAAUCAGUAAAAAAGUGGGCGGUGCCUACUGCUGAGAGGAUUCAGUCUCUGUUCCCGCAGCCGUUCCGGCCCGGCAGCUCUCCUGCUCUCGGGCUGCGAGGGGGGAGCGGUGGCGUGGACUCAGAGCGCUCGGGGCUCUCCACCUGGUUCUGGCACAGGAGAGGCACCGGGUUCUGGAGAAAAGAACACGUGGUUGAGUUAGACCUGGUUGUUAUUCAGGUCUCUGUAUGGGGAACAGCCACAGAUCACAAGGGUGGAAUGAAGAUGGCUAAUUGGGAGUGUCGACUGAAAAAAUGCACCACCUAAAAGUUGGGAAUUAUGUUUUAUUCAGCGGACAUACUGAGGACUUAAGCCUGGAGACAGCCUCUCACGUAGCUCUGAGGGAUUUCUCCAAAGAGGUCUCACCAGCUCUGAGGCUGCCAAGUGGGGCUGCAGCAGGAUGCUGCCUUGUUGGGGUGCCGUGCGGCGUAGGAGCUGAGGAUGAGCUUGGUGUGCAGAGAGGCCCGGGCUGAACAGCCCGCCGUCACAGGCACACCACUUGAUCUCUCGGGGCCUCCAAUUUCCUCUUCGUAAAGAGGGUAACGAUUUACAGCACGGACGUUCCUGAGCGUUGGAGAUAUGGACGUAGACUCUGGGCACUUAAUAGGUGCUAAAAAUGGCAGCUUGUGAACUUGAGUGGCGGCCGGCACCUUCUCCAGGAACGCACUCCCUGCCCUGUCUGGGGGACGUCUCCCCUCAGUGGCCCCUGGGUGCCCUCAUCGCUACCCUCAAGCCCCUGUUGGGCAUCACUUACUUGCUGGCAUGCCCACCAGCUGGGAGAUGGUGCAUGGCAGGCAGGUGCAAGAUCGUCUGCCACAGUGCCAGACACCCGGUACGUGCUCAGAUGGACACAUGGGUCAGAUGUGACUCCUGACGUGGGGGCGGUGAGACCAGCGUAAAAUGGAUGAGAAGGUCGCCCUCAGGUCUUCUAAGAGAUGGUCAGUGAAUGAAGAAGUUGGGGGGAAAGCACUCCCUGAGUUUCUCUCAGGAGGACUUGAGUGCCAAGAUGCCAACCAGGCGACCAGAGCUCUGCCCCACCCAGUCAGAGCAGCGGGGCGCCCACUCCAUCGCGGGAAGGGAGCUAGAGAAGACGGAGCUGCCCCCGCGGCGCCCACGGGCUGCGUGAGGUGAGGCCUGACGGGACGAGCAUGUGGGUCUGCGCUGGCUCCAGGAGAGAGGAGCCUCGAGCUGGGGCUCUUUUCCAGAGCUUUCUGGAAAAGGGGACUGCACUCCCUUCCUGUGCAGAGCCUUCUGAGUCCACAGGAUAGAGGAGAGACCGUGGGGUGGAGGGCGGACACCGGCUGGGCUGCAGGGCUCUCGGGCCUCAGGUCACCGAGCAGGUUGACCUCUGGGGGAGCUGGGCGGGCUGAGCCGGCUGGGCCUCCUAGCAGGAGCACCGAGCUGGAUGAGGCCGCAGCCCCACCUUCUGCAUGGUGCCUUUGCCACGGUGCCCAGACGUUCCCGGGGCCAAGCAGGCUGUGGGGCUGGGACUCCGGAUGCAUUCUCGGGGCAGCUGGAGAGCCACACUCGGCUGGCCUCCCUGUGGAUGCUGCCCGGCCAUACAGCCCUCUCCGGCCAGCCGCCUGGUCCCGGGAGGAGAUGAGGGCAAAGCUCUAGCAGGCAGCUCAGAUACCCCUGUCCUGACCCCCAAAUGUGCUGGACCGUUCCCAGAACUCUCCACAGAGCGAAGGGGAGGCCUCGGUUAGCCAGGAAGGAAAUCGCCUUCCCUUCCUUCCUCCUGCUUUGAUUCACCUAAACAAAUACUUACCAUCACCUGCUCUGCGCUGGGCCCUGUGCUGCCCCGAGGGCUCCCGUGAUGGCAGAGUGCAGACGGGCGGGCAGGUCCUGCAGUGAAGCCCCCUCCUGGCUUGGUCUGAGCCCACUUUCUCCAGGAAACCUGCCCGUGCACCCGUGCGAGGUCGGUUGGUUUGAGAGCAGGAAGGCACCUCGGGCUGGGGUAGAAUCUCACUGCCGCCUCCCAGGGCCGGGGGGCAUAAGAGGCUUCUCUGGGGUCUGGUCUCUCGACCCUCACUGGCUUCAGUCCUUGGGUCCGAGGCGGGCGGAGGGAGCUGCGAGUCUGGUCAGCACCUUCUCUGAGCUCUCAGGCUGUGUGAUCCCUGUGGCCUCGCUGGCUGGCGCCCCGGGGCAUGGCCUGAGCUGCGUCCCUCCUCCUGGGCUAAUCGGGCCUGCCACCCGGAGGCCCAGCUCCCCUCAGACAGUGGCCAGGAUGUGGAUAGCGCUGGUACAGUUACCCACACGUAAUAGCAGGACAGUAGCAGUGGGCAUUAAUCACGACACAGGCGACAUCUGCCAGGAAUGGGCUGGACCCACGUGAGAUGGAAACUGAGCCUCCGAGUGGCGAAGUGACUUGCGCAUGGCUGCACAGCUGAUGGGGCAGGGCCUGGUGUGCUCACAGGUCUGCCAGCCUUAGGGCUUCCCACACUUUUCUCAGUCAGGGAGUGUGUCAGUUUCCUAGAGCUGCUGUAAUGCAGGGCUUGAAACAACAGAAGUUUAUUCCCUCCCAGCUCUGGGGGCCGCAAGUCCGAGAUCGAGAGUACCAGGGCUGUGCUUCCUCUGAGACUUUUCCAGCUUCCGGUGUGGCCGACGCUUGGUGCUCCUUGGCUUGCCCUGUGUCACCUCAGUCUCUGCCUCCGUCACCUCUCCCUCUGUGUCUCCAUCUUCACGUGGCAUCUCCUCUUCCUAGAAGGACAUCAGUCAUACUGGAUUAGGGCCCACCCCCAUGACCUCACCUGCAAAGACCCUCUUCCAAAUAAGGUCACAUUCGCAGGUACGAGGGGUUUUGGACAAGAACAUAUCUUUGGGGGGAAGGGGGACAACUCAACCCACAAUCGAAAAGAAACAGAUCAGGGGCAGAGCCUGAAGCCGUGAGUUCCCGGUUUGAAAUUUCUUUAGAGUCUCAAGUUUCAUCUUAAAAAUUCUUGCAUUUCAUACAUUAUUCUCUAUUUUAAAUUCAUGUUUGUUUUCAUAGGAAAUAUUAUUUCUCCAAAGCUCUGACACUUUGGUGAGGAGGAACAUGUAUAUCCUAUGGCUUCAUGAGCCUUCAGGACAUUUCUAAAUUUCCUCAAGGGAAUUUAUAUCCCAGUUGGAAAAGUAUCAACCAGCAGAAAUUCAUUUAAUUCCCUUAAAAACCCAGAGAGGCAGAUAUAUUUAAACAAAGAGGAAACUGAGGCUCCUAGAGGUUCAUGAUCUGCUAAAAUCACACCGUAAUGGAAUUCGGUUCUUCUGGCUCCUUGAUCGGCUCUUCUGCUGUAAGCGUGUGACCCGGGGGUGGGGGGCGGAAUAGGCGUGUGCCCUUCCCCACACGCCCACAUGUGCAGGGAGGGAUUUUUGUACCUGUUGUGAAGUUCAGUUACAUGAAUUCUGGGACAUAAACAUAGUUUGCUACAUAAAACCAUAAAUUUUUCAGUAAGAUAGAAAAGAAAAUCUACCCACACUGCAUUCAAAUGUUACAUUUGCAAAUACUCAUGUUAGAAACGCCCUUCAGUGUUUGCUUGUGAGAAGGCGGUGCUCUUCAUCAGCUCUGCUCGUUAUUUGGUGGUUAUUUAGGAGGUAGUUAGUGGACUCUGCAUGGAGAGAGUUGUUUCCAGCAGCUGCUGUGAGCGGCUCUGAGUGAAAGUACUCGUGUUAAGUGGGUGCCCACCCGGCUUCACCCAGCCCCGCCCGUUCACCCGGUCACCCACCCUCCCUCCACGCAGCAAACCUCUGCUGGGUAUCACUGGGUGACACACGCCUCUGCCCGCAAGGAGCUCGUGCGCUGGAGCACAGGGGCCCCUGACACGAGACUUCCUCGUACCCGGGAAGGAGCAAGGGGGAGCCUCGGGGACUGGGAGAACAGCCCCGUCUGCGUGCCAGGCAGGCCGAGUGUGCAUGUGCGUGUGCACGUGCAUGCGAGUAGGCAGGUGGCAGCCCCAGAGCUGCCCAUCGGCUCGGUCUCACCUGGCAUCCAUGGCCCCGCCCUGAAUCCACCUCCUCGCCUCCGGGGGUGGGUGAAGCCAGGACACCCGUUGCAGACGUGAGCACCUGCCCAAGCCAGCCCCGGACGCCAGGCUGGGACCCCUGACACCCCUGCCCUGCCCAGGCAUUGGGCAGCCUGGUCCUGGCCCCCCCUCCCCUGUUUGCUCCCAGAGGCCGUGGCCCUGGUCUGGGGCUGUGUGAGCAUCUCCUUGUUUUCACCCACAGAUCCCAAGGGUUCUCAGGAGGAUCUGCUGGAGGAAGGAGAUAAUUUAGGCGACACCCAUGCAGGGUGAGUCUGAGGUCUGCUUGGGAGGCUUUCGGGUCUUAGUCCUGCCACCCCGUUGGCUGAGGGAACACCAGCUACUACUUCUGAGUGUCAUGGCGCAGAGCGCCGUGCUGCCUCCCCAGGGACACUGUUGUAAUCCUCUCUACCGGGAUUGCUUGUUUCCCUCCCCAGAGAGGUUAGGUGACUUGCCCAGUGUCUUCCAGCCAGGAAGCGGUGGAGCAGUACUGCCUGCCGUACCCUGUGGCGUCUCGGUGUUUCCGGCCCCUUGGUCCUGGCCUGGGGGAGGAUCCCGGGACGCAGAGCAGACGUUUCUCAUGGAACCAGCCAGCGCUGCGUGUCAGUGAGAGAAACUGGAUGGGCCACAGUGCCCACAUCUCCCAGCUGCCUUGUCUGGGUGCCUGAAACUUCUCCACUUUAGCACCUUUCCUCUGUGUGGAGUUAACCGUGUCAGCAUCCUUGGGGAAGCAACCCUCGCCGCCACCAGCACCGGUACAAACAAAACCUGGCGUAGAUGUCCAGGCUGGUCCUGGGUGGGAACGGCAUCCCGGGUCCAGGGUCUCUCUGAGUCCUCAUCUCUAUUGUGAGUCUGAGGUUCCAGGGUAGGAAACUGAGGCCCAGAGGGGCUCCCAGAGUUGCCCCAGGUCACCCCACAAGUAAAGAAUUGAUGUUCAACUCUUUAACGUGCGGUGAUGACAAGGACAUUUGUAAGCGUCUGAAAUUGAUAUGCCCCUGGCACACCAGCGCCGAGGCUGAUCGUCUGGGAACAAAUGCUAGUGAGAUGCCACCUGCAGGCUGGUAGCAACUCUUUAUGGCAAGAGGAAUACAGCAGUAAUAAUACUCACUGCCGCCUUCAAGGGCCCUCUCGGCACAGUGGUGAUCCCAAGCGCUUAGCGCAUAGAGAUUAUGUUUGAUCUUCAAACAACCCUGCAGACAGGCAUUCUCAUUUCCCAGUUGAGGAUGUGAUGACGGCAGAGAAGUUAUUGAUCUGACCGAGACCAUCCAUUGGUGUGGGGAGGAUCUGGUCCUGACCCCAGAGCUUUUCAGUUGCACCCACUUGUUUUCUAGAAGUUUCGCUACAUGAUGAGGAACGUCCUUUGCAAACAUGACUAUUUGUAUCUGCCCUUAUACCAGAUGCUAGGCUGAACCAAGGGAAGAGGUUUUGUCCACACCAGGUGAGUGUGGGGUGCUGCAGGGGGCAGCAGUCGGGUGCCCGGCCGGGAACGGAUGUGGGUCCUCCCGCCUCCCGAUAUGGUCCUACCUCUCCCUCAGGCUUGCCACUCAGCAGGCCAGUCCUUCCACCAAAAACCCCGACGGGGGCUGCGCCAGGCUUUGUGAAUGAGGAGGGAGGGGGAUCGACAGAGUCUCGGGGGCAGAUGGACAAGGAGAGGCCCAGGCAGUGGGCCUCUGGGGUGGAGGGUGGCAGUGAGGAGGCAUGCCCUCUGGGUAAGGUGAGUGUACCUCAGGCCAGUCUGGGCAAUGCCCGGAGCCUGGGGGGCACUGGGGUCAAAGGCUCCCAGAGGAGCAGGGAAACUGAGGCCCCAAAUGUGUCUUCAAACUUCUGUGGGCCCAUCCGCUCAGCAGCUCCUCCUAGAACAGCUGCGUGCGCAAGCACGGUGGCCCCCGGGCUCUGUGAGCCUCUCGCGGGGGAGCCGGGCUGGGGUGAAGGGCACGGAGCAGGGUGUCCACUGGGGCUUUACAGGAGGCGGCACCAAGCUGCACGCACGGGGGGAGAGCAAAGAGAUGGUCUUGUGGAGAAGAGAAGCCGUAGAAAGAAGAGCUCCAGCACCGAAAGGGGUGGGGAGGGGCUGCAGCACUGGAGCAGGGCUGGCGCACAUCAUCGUGUUGCUGGGCUCCUAGCUGCAGUCAGAAGCAACCCAAGUUUUAAAGAGAGAGUGAACCUCUGAGAAGAGAAGGUGACGUGUGUAAAGAGAUAAGGACGCGGGGUCAGAGGCAGGACUGGCGUUGGGGCUUGGAGCCAAGGUUCUGACUCAAGCAGAGACAGGGCUUCAGUAAGAAGUCAGGGUGGAGGGCGGAGGCUCCAGGGGACUGCCAGGCCCGCUUGCGAAGUGGCUGUGCAGGCUGGACAGGGCAGGGCACACGUAAGCUGGGGCUUUGACUACAGCAGGGUGACCGGGCAGGGCUGGCCUCAGAGGGUCAGGAGGCCCGGAAGUAGAUGGUAAGCAGCAGAGCUCCAAGGGCCCCGGAGCGGAAGGCAGGGCGUCAGAGAAGACCGGAGAAAUGGGCUGGUGAGGCUGGUGGGCAUGGCAGGCAGCGUCCAGGCACCAGGGCAGGGCAAGUGGCACCUCCCACUGUGGUCCGGGCUGAGGGUGGGCCCCGGUCUGGACCAGAAGCUCUCUGUCCGUGGCCCCCGGGUCAGGAUGGGCCGCAGCACCAUGGCCUGGGGGGGAGGCUAGGCAAGGGCCCUGGGUUAGGGUGGAGAGGCUAGUGGGCCCAGAGUCACAGAAUGGAGAGAAAACGAGACAGACCCUCCAAGGGCUGGCGAGAGUAUCACUCUGGAGGAAGCCGCCCAGUAGCAAGUGGAUAAAAAACACAUUCCUGGAGGAGCCCAGAGACAAGGGGACUCGGGGGAGGCUCCCAGAGGAGGGCUGACUGAGUCAGAGAGCCAUUAAUCCUCAUCUCUGCGGGUGCCACGUGGGGAGGGGCAGCCUGUGGUGAAGGAGCCUUCAGCCAACGCCAUCGCAGGUGGGUCAGGGCGGGGCAGUGCCCAGCAGGCCCCUCCGUCCCAGAAGGGUUGCUGCAGGGCCUGGGCCUCCGAACCCUAAAGGAUUUAUUUACCCACCAGGCCUCUGGAUGUCAGCGUUGCAGGCUCGGAACUGGAUUUGCCAACUCGGCAAGAUGGAUCCAUCUCUGGAGGAAGGGCUCACGUUGACCAAGCUCACGUGACUGAUGGAUAAAAUGUCAAUUUAUCAAUAAUGAAUGUCAUACGGACCAACUUUUUUUUUUUGGCUGUGUUGGGUCUUCGUUGCUGCACACAGGCUUUUCUCUAGUUGCGGCGAAGGGGGGCUACUCUUCGUUGUGGUGC
Long non-coding RNA from Aethalodelphis obliquidens (Pacific white-sided dolphin), 7348 nucleotides. RefSeq lists it as uncharacterized. The record is from RefSeq and is a predicted model, not a curated record. The transcript is spliced from 3 exons. NCBI's taxonomy places the organism in Eukaryota, Metazoa, Chordata, Mammalia, Artiodactyla, Delphinidae.